GGGAAUGCUUGAUGUGUAUGGUAAGAUCCUUAGAGAAGAAAUGGAAACUGGAAUGCCUCUACUCAUACUGUCAAUACACAUAAUCAAGGAUGGGAUAGAGUGUAUACAACCUUACCAAAUCACUUUGAUCUCAGUCGCAUACUAAUGAUCAUCAGCAGCCAGUAAUUCUAGAAAACAAAGUACUCCAGCUGCUGCUAUGGCUUCAGCCUUUCAGGUGGAACUGUACAAUCUGAAUACAAAGAACAGGAACAUGAAACCAGAAUCCUAACCCCGCGCCUUUCCGCUUGCAAGCGUGAGUUCGAGAUCAUCCGUGCCCAUCUCGUGUAUCCGCUCACCUUCCCAAGGCUUGACCUUUCUAUUCCCGAACUCGAACUCAGAGCUUCUCACAUUGUCAACUCCACUCGCAGCAGCAUUUACAUUCGCUCCCACCACGGGUCUAACGAGGUUGAAAGUAGGGGAAACGGGGAUCGUUUGGGAAGAAGGAACACCUUGGAAAGAUAACCACCCGCCAGAAUCGAUAAUGGAGCCAUCAGAUUCGUCGCAUUCGGGUAUGGGUUGGAAGUAGUGGUGGCGCCUGGUAGGACUAGAAGGCGCGGAGGCUGCAAAGAUCGGAUGGUUGAAGGAGUUGACUAUAGUUGCAUUGUUAGCAAGGGAUGCAUUGGAAUUUCUGGUGGGAGAAGAGAGCGGAGGAGUUACUGGGGCACUGUUGGAUAUCCUAAGAGGAGGCAAGUUUGUGGGGAUUGAAGCUAUGUUACGGAGUAAAGGAAGGAGGUAUGCUGAUGGGUUGGCUUCAAAACGAGAAGGACUUGGGAAUGAUGAUGAUGUUGGGCUAGCUUGGUAGGAAAUCACCGGACUUUGGAAGUUUGAAGUUUGUGGACUUGGCUGAAUGGAUGAACCUCCGCUAAAGCUUAGUGGAGUUCCUGCAAUUUCACCAGGCAGCGGCUUGCACCCCUGAGAACAGAUCAUAAAACAUCAAUCAUCACCAAGACAGUAUAUUCAACCAAAUUGGGAUCUCCAAAAUCAUUACAAUAAGAUUAAUCUAGAUGCCAAACAGAUGUUAUGCAGAUUCAGAUUUCCUUUCGGAGAAACACAGAGACAGCCAUUGAAUGAAGUUAUAUCAGGCUAAUCUGAUUCAAUAAUGGAGCAGCAAUGAUUGUGAUUAAGAGUAAGCAUUUAAGGAAUACAGAAACAGAAACGAGGCAAAACCUUGCGGUAAGUAGUACCGUCUUCUUCAACGAAUUUCUCUUCUUCCUCCUCACACUGACGAACCCAACAAUUUUGAAACCCUUUUGUUCAAGUUUGCAUCUUGCCCUUCUUCUUUUUCGUCUUCUUCUUCUCCUUCUCCAACCCACUGAGAAGAGUCGAAGAAAGAUUACUGUGCUGAAUAGGAAAUCAGAGAAUCACAAGUUAGAAAUCGAGAGAGAAAUGAAAGUUCGAAGAAAUUGGGUUCAUUUUGUGCCGAUUGGAAAAGGAUUAAUUUUUACCAGUAUAAAGCAAAAUGAAUGCGCAGUGAGUGUCGCUCUCUCCAGCCUCUCCCUUCAAACUAUUGGUAGGGAAGAAUCUGCUUAUUCACUUCUGAGUUCUUUCUGACUGCCAUCUCGCUCAUUUGUUUACAGAAUUUACCAUUUUUUGCCACUGCUUCGACAUUUUUACUUGUAAGUAACUUUGAGAUAAUAUUAUUUUUCUAUUUUUUAUUUUACCAAAAUAACAAUUAGACCUCUAUAUUAUUAAAUAUUAUUUUCCCUCUUUUAUUUUACCAAUUUGCUAAAUAUUUUCUUUUGUUAUUAUUGCCGUCCAUAUUUCGUUAAAUCAUGUUGAAUUAUUAUGACACGUCAGCCUCAUAUGCCACAUGGCCUAUGACUGGAUUUUUGUUAUUUUAUUAUUUUUAACAAAAUAAUUUUUAUUUUUAACAUAUUAGAUUGAUGUGUAAUUGAAUCUUUUUUAUAUAUUCAGAUUGACAAAUAAAAAUAUAAUAUUGUAUGUAUCAAUAUAAAAAUCAUCAAUAAAUUUUCAUCAAUCAUCAAAUAAAACCAUGUAAUUCACAAAGUAAACUUCAUAAUUUUCUAAAAUUAUUGAAAAUAAUAUUUCCAAACAUGUUACUAGUUAGAAGUGAACAUCUGUUUCUGUUAUUAGCACUAUAGACAUUCAUAUCAGGGGGGAAUGCUUGAUGUGUAUGGUAAGAUCCUUAGAGAAGAAAUGGAAACUGGAAUGCCUCUACUCAUACUGUCAAUACACAUAAUCAAGGAUGGGAUAGAGUGUAUACAACCUUACCAAAUCACUUUGAUCUCAGUCGCAUACUAAUGAUCAUCAGCAGCCAGUAAUUCUAGAAAACAAAGUACUCCAGCUGCUGCUAUGGCUUCAGCCUUUCAGGUGGAACUGUACAAUCUGAAUACAAAGAACAGGAACAUGAAACCAGAAUCCUAACCCCGCGCCUUUCCGCUUGCAAGCGUGAGUUCGAGAUCAUCCGUGCCCAUCUCGUGUAUCCGCUCACCUUCCCAAGGCUUGACCUUUCUAUUCCCGAACUCGAACUCAGAGCUUCUCACAUUGUCAACUCCACUCGCAGCAGCAUUUACAUUCGCUCCCACCACGGGUCUAACGAGGUUGAAAGUAGGGGAAACGGGGAUCGUUUGGGAAGAAGGAACACCUUGGAAAGACAGCCACCGGCCAGAAUCGAUAAUGGAGCCAUCAGAUUCAUCGCAUUCGGGUAUGGGUUGGAAGUAGUGGUGGCGCCUGGUAGGACUAGAAG
This 2746-nucleotide long non-coding RNA is filed under the name Linum usitatissimum (flax). RNAcentral describes it as "long non-coding RNA (LUSI_LNC004622)". Lineage: Eukaryota; Viridiplantae; Streptophyta; Magnoliopsida; Malpighiales; Linaceae. The record is from RNAcentral.